Molecule: ribosomal RNA, 1044 nt
Filed under: Triticum aestivum (bread wheat)
Lineage: Eukaryota; Viridiplantae; Streptophyta; Magnoliopsida; Poales; Poaceae
Description: partial small subunit ribosomal RNA
Source: RNAcentral
AUGCGGUUCACGGCGGGGGGCUCGUCGACGCGGUCGUGGCAGCCCAAGCCGACGGCGGACACCACGGACCUGCGCUUCUGGCUGACCUGGCGGGUGGCGGUGUGCGCGCUCUGGGUGCUCUGCUGCGUCGCCGCCGCGGCCUACCUCAUCUGGCGCCACGAGGGGCCCCGCGCGCACCGCCGGCCCGGAGCCGCCAAGCAGGACGCGGCAGCGCAGCAAGGGCGGCGCCGGCCGGACGGGCUGCUGUACGACGACGAAGCGUGGCGGCCCUGCCUCCGCGACAUCCACCCGGCCUGGCUGCUCGCCUACAGGCUCGUCUCCUUCUUCGUCCUCUUCAGCCUCCUCAUCGUCAUCGUCAUCUCCGACGGCGGCAACAUCUUCUACUACUACACCCAGUGGACCUUCAUUCUGGUGACGGUUUACUUCGGGCUUGCGACGACGCUUUCGAUCUACGGGUGCAGCAAGUUCGCCGCCUGCAAUGCCGUCGCGGCGAUGUCCGACGCCGAGCAGGGGCCCUACGCCAUCCACGGGGCCGCCCCGAAGUCGAUCGUCGACGGGGAGGACGACGGCACGAGGGAGAUCGCCGGGUUCUGGGGGUACCUUCUGCAGAUCAUCUAUCAGGUGAAAGAGACAAAUGCAGGGGCCGUGAUGCUUACAGACUGCGUCUUUUGGUUCAUCAUUUUCCCAUUCCUGACCGUCAAAGAUUACAGUAUGAACUUUUUACUGAUAGGAAUGCACUCAGUCAACGCUGUUUUCUUGCUCGGCGAAGCAUCUCUAAAUAGCCUGCGCUUCCCGUGGUUCCGGAUCGCGUAUUUCUUCCUUUAUACAGCGCUAUACGUUGUUUUCCAGUGGAUCGUCCAUGCAUCUACUCCAACCUGGUGGCCCUACCCGUUCCUCGACCUCUCCUCUAAUCUCGCGCCUCUGUGGUACUUUGCGGUCGCGUUCAUGCAACUGCCCUGCUACCUGAUCUUCAGACUGGUGAUGAACCUGAAACACCACCUUCUCUCCAAGCAUUUCCUGGAUAGCAUGGUCCUAGGAUAUUAG